UCGAGAAUCAUUCGCAAUGGGCGAAAGCCUGACGAUGCGACGCCGUGUGAGCGAUGAAGGCCUUAGGGUCGUAAAGCUCUUUCGCUUGGGAACAAGAGAAGGUGGUUAAUACCCACCUGAUUUGAGGGUACCAGGUAAAGAAGCACCGGCUAACUCCGUGCCAGCAGCUGCGGUAAUACGGAGGGUGCAAGCAUUAAUCGGAUUUAUUGGGCGUAAAGGGCGCGUAGGCGGAAGUAAAAGUCAGAUGUGAAAUCCCAGGGCUCAACCCUGGAACAGCAUUUGAAACUCUAUUUCUAGAGGGUAGGCGGAGAAAACGGAAUUCCACAAGUAGCGGUGAAAUGCGUAGAUAUGUGGAAGAACACCGGUGGCGAAGGCGGUUUUCUAGCUUAUACCUGACGCUGAGGCGCGAAAGCAAGGGGAGCAAACAGGAUUAGAUACCCCCGUAGUCC
RNAcentral lists this ribosomal RNA (449 nucleotides) under uncultured bacterium. RNAcentral describes it as "bacterial SSU rRNA". It matches the Rfam family "Bacterial small subunit ribosomal RNA", at positions 355 to 796 of the family's 1533-position model. The record is from RNAcentral.